Non-coding RNA from Vicia faba (fava bean), 279 nucleotides. NCBI's taxonomy places the organism in Eukaryota, Viridiplantae, Streptophyta, Magnoliopsida, Fabales, Fabaceae. The record is from the annotation of a GenBank genome assembly.
AUGAUGCACAUAAGUGAGAAAUCUGAAGCCUACCUAUUAGAGUUCGUCCGAUACGACUUUGAUGAUUGUGCCGAUGAGAGAAAACCGAAGAGCACUCCUAGACUCAGGUUUUGCGUAGUUUUUUGGACUGGUUAUGGGCAGGGGCAGCAACAGGUCUUGGACUGUUUGUGUAGCAGGACAGAAGCCGGUUCAAUUUUGGCCAUGUGCAGGUCAAGGUUUGAAAUGGACAUGGCAUGUGAUUCAAGGCUUAGUCAUGAGAUGAAGAAAGAUGAAAAUUAG